Molecule: ribosomal RNA, 973 nt
Filed under: Staphylococcus aureus
Lineage: Bacteria; Bacillati; Bacillota; Bacilli; Caryophanales; Staphylococcaceae
Description: bacterial SSU rRNA
Rfam family: Bacterial small subunit ribosomal RNA
Source: RNAcentral
CCUGGCUCAGGAUGAACGCUGGCGGCGUGCCUAAUACAUGCAAGUCGAGCGAACGGACGAGAAGCUUGCUUCUCUGAUGUUAGCGGCGGACGGGUGAGUAACACGUGGAUAACCUACCUAUAAGACUGGGAUAACUUCGGGAAACCGGAGCUAAUACCGGAUAAUAUUUUGAACCGCAUGGUUCAAAAGUGAAAGACGGUCUUGCUGUCACUUAUAGAUGGAUCCGCGCUGCAUUAGCUAGUUGGUAAGGUAACGGCUUACCAAGGCAACGAUGCAUAGCCGACCUGAGAGGGUGAUCGGCCACACUGGAACUGAGACACGGUCCAGACUCCUACGGGAGGCAGCAGUAGGGAAUCUUCCGCAAUGGGCGAAAGCCUGACGGAGCAACGCCGCGUGAGUGAUGAAGGUCUUCGGAUCGUAAAACUCUGUUAUUAGGGAAGAACAUAUGUGUAAGUAACUGUGCACAUCUUGACGGUACCUAAUCAGAAAGCCACGGCUAACUACGUGCCAGCAGCCGCGGUAAUACGUAGGUGGCAAGCGUUAUCCGGAAUUAUUGGGCGUAAAGCGCGCGUAGGCGGUUUUUUAAGUCUGAUGUGAAAGCCCACGGCUCAACCGUGGAGGGUCAUUGGAAACUGGAAAACUUGAGUGCAGAAGAGGAAAGUGGAAUUCCAUGUGUAGCGGUGAAAUGCGCAGAGAUAUGGAGGAACACCAGUGGCGAAGGCGACUUUCUGGUCUGUAACUGACGCUGAUGUGCGAAAGCGUGGGGAUCAAACAGGAUUAGAUACCCUGGUAGUCCACGCCGUAAACGAUGAGUGCUAAGUGUUAGGGGGUUUCCGCCCCUUAGUGCUGCAGCUAACGCAUUAAGCACUCCGCCUGGGGAGUACGACCGCAAGGUUGAAACUCAAAGGAAUUGACGGGGACCCGCACAAGCGGUGGAGCAUGUGGUUUAAUUCGAAGCAACGCGAAGAACCUU